CUUCUACGCCAUGCAUUCUUUGCAGACCUUCCAUGUAAAGAAUAAAACGUUACUGUACCCAGUCCUCCCACAAUCAAAUGGGAUGUUUCAUUGUGCAAGCCAAGAGGAGAUCAAGAGGGCAGUCAUGAUGCAUGUGUUCAACGCACAAAAAGCCGACAUGGUGAGCUCGAUGCUGGAGUUGCAGCUAUGGUCUCGACCUGGAGCCGACUCCAGUGGAGUCUACUAUCAGUUCAUUACUCAGGUUCACUAGGAAACAUGACUCAUGUAACUUGGUUUAAUUUCUCUUGAAAUACCAGAACCUUUUACAGGGAAUUGGACUGCUCUGGGGCAUAAAGGCAAUGCAAUGAAACUGUUACAGUGGUUUUGACGAUUCAUUUUAUUCAUUCUGAUUCAUACUCUUACAUCAAAACAGCUUGCUUUCCUUAGAGUAGAAGAAGGGAUGACAGAAAUGGAGGGAUGAUGUAAGAGUGAGUGAGUUAAGUUUUACGCAGCUUUGAGCAAUACCACGGCGGGGGAUACCAGAUAUUCGAUACUUAUAUUACCAUACAAAAUAUGUACACGGUUACCAUUACAGUACACGAAUAUGUGUUCUAUUCCAGGUGUGUUAUUGUUUAUAUAUUACUUCAGUGUUUAUGGUAUCACAGGUAUCAAAUAUGUUCAUGGUUAACAUUUCAGUACACGAAUGUGUGCUCUAUUCCAGGUUUGUUAUUGUUUAUAUAUUACUUCAGUGUUUAUGGUAUCACAGGUAUCAAACAUGUAUUUGCAUAUGAAUGUGUGCACCAACGAUGUUAAUAUUGUCUGUAUGGCUGGUAUGUGUGUGUGUGCGUGCGCGUCGGUGCGUGUGUGUUUUGGAGUGCUUUUUUCAUGUUAUCAAUGUUAUUUUAUGCUUUUAUUGGUAUCUCACAACCUAAUUAGGGUGGCUCAUUAUUGAAUAAAAAAGUAGAAUUACGAGGUUUGUACAACCGGUGAGAUCU
Molecule: long non-coding RNA, 974 nt
Organism: Haliotis rubra (blacklip abalone)
Lineage: Eukaryota; Metazoa; Mollusca; Gastropoda; Lepetellida; Haliotidae
Exons: 2
Source: RefSeq, a predicted model, not a curated record